This 323-nucleotide long non-coding RNA is filed under the name Androctonus crassicauda. The record is from RNAcentral. Lineage: Eukaryota; Metazoa; Arthropoda; Arachnida; Scorpiones; Buthidae.
GGAAAGGGGGUGCGGCCUUGGUCGUGGUGUUCAGGUGGGUGUGUUCCGCUUCUUCUGUUCGGCGGGUGGAUGUUGCCAGGCGGGGGGGGGUCAGCGGCCGUGUUUUCGUUGGGGAUUCUGCCUUCGUUCCUUGCUUUGUUUGUUUCGAUGGUUUCCACUGGCUUGGCUUGUGUUUUGUUGUGCACCGGUUUGAUUAUUUUUGCCGCAGUCCGGUUUGUUCUUAUGUCUUUCUCGUGCGCCUCUGCGGCUGGCGCUGUGUUGGUGUUGCCUUUUUCGAUGUCCCUCCUGUGCUCUUGUGGUCUUUCUGCUGGGUUUCUGUUGGU